GAGAAUUUGCCUCCUCUUCUGAUCUUCAAUGACCUUUGAAGCUCUAGCCAAUCUCUCUUUGGUGAUGUCGUGCUCCUUUGUUGAAGAUGCCAAAUCCUGACUGACCUUCCCAUAGUAGGCAGUAUCCAUCUCAAAGCGCUUUGCCUCCAAUGCAUGUCGCUUAUCUUGAUCUUCCAUCCUCACUCUGAUCUCCUGGUUGGCCGUCUGAAUCCGAGCAACACUCAUCUCCAAUUCAGCUUUUUCCGC
Molecule: long non-coding RNA, 246 nt
Filed under: Lathyrus oleraceus (garden pea)
Lineage: Eukaryota; Viridiplantae; Streptophyta; Magnoliopsida; Fabales; Fabaceae
Description: Pisum sativum (pea) long non-coding RNA (PSAT_LNC023954)
Source: RNAcentral